GAACAUAGUUAAAACAAAUUCUAGACUGUGACUCUAGAGAUGAAGACUAACUAUCUUCUGUUCACC
Molecule: transfer RNA, 66 nt
Filed under: Allobates goianus (Goias rocket frog)
Lineage: Eukaryota; Metazoa; Chordata; Amphibia; Anura; Aromobatidae
Description: tRNA-His
Source: RNAcentral